This 253-nucleotide ribosomal RNA is filed under the name uncultured bacterium. RNAcentral's name for it is "partial 16S ribosomal RNA". It matches the Rfam family "Bacterial small subunit ribosomal RNA", at positions 524 to 776 of the family's 1533-position model. The record is from RNAcentral.
UACGAAGGGGGCUAGCGUUGCCCGGAAUCACUGGGCGUAAAGCGCACGUAGGCGGACUCUUAAGUCGGUGGUGAAAUCCUGGAGCUCAACUCCAGAACUGCCUUCGAUACUGGGAGUCUCGAGUUCGGGAGAGGUGAGUGGAACUGCGAGUGUAGAGGUGAAAUUCGUAGAUAUUCGCAAGAACACCAGUGGCGAAGGCGGCUCACUGGCCCGAUACUGACGCUGAGGUGCGAAAGCGUGGGGAGCAAACAGG